GUAGAUUUAGUUUAAAGAUAGAAUGCUAAUUUUGUAAAUUAGAGGUAGAAUCGGCU
This 56-nucleotide transfer RNA is filed under the name Gnathostoma doloresi. Its description in RNAcentral is "tRNA-Thr". Lineage: Eukaryota; Metazoa; Nematoda; Chromadorea; Rhabditida; Gnathostomatidae. The record is from RNAcentral.